RNAcentral lists this ribosomal RNA (492 nucleotides) under uncultured bacterium. RNAcentral's name for it is "partial 16S ribosomal RNA". It matches the Rfam family "Bacterial small subunit ribosomal RNA", at positions 29 to 507 of the family's 1533-position model. The record is from RNAcentral.
AGUGAACGCUGGCGGUAGGCCUAACACAUGCAAGUCGAACGGCAGCACAGUAAGAGCUUGCUCUUACGGGUGGCGAGUGGCGGACGGGUGAGGAAUACAUCGGAAUCUACUUUUUCGUGGGGGAUAACGUAGGGAAACUUACUCUAAUACCGCAUACGACCUACGGGUGAAAGCAUGGGAUCUUCGGACCUUGCGCGAUUGAAUGAGCCGAUGUCGGAUUAGCUAGUUGGCGGGGUAAAGGCCCACCAAGGCGACGAUCCGUAGCUGGUCUGAGAGGAUGAUCAGCCACACUGGAACUGAGACACGGUCCAGACUACUACGGGAGGCCGCAGUGGCGAAUAUUGGACAAUGGGCGCAAGCCUGAUCCAGCCAUACCGAGUGGGUGAAGAAGGCCUUCGGGUUGUAAAGCCCUUUUGUUGGGAAAGAACAGCAGCAGGUUAAUACCCAGCUGUUCUGACGGUACCCAAAGAAUAAGCACCGGCUAACUUCGUG